UACAGAGGUGGCAAGCGUUGUUCGGAAUUACUGGGCGUAAAGGGCGAGUAGGUGGCCAUCUAAGUCAGACGUGAAAUCCCCCGGCUUAACCUGGGAACUGCGUCUGAUACUGGACGGCUCGAGUAUGGGAGAGGAACGUAGAAUUCCAGGUGUAGCGGUGAAAUGCGUAGAUAUCUGGAGGAAUACCGGUGGCGAAGGCGGCGUUCUGGACCAUUACUGACACUGAAUCGCGAAAGCUAGGGGAGCAAACGGG
Molecule: ribosomal RNA, 253 nt
Filed under: uncultured bacterium
Lineage: Bacteria
Description: partial 16S ribosomal RNA
Rfam family: Bacterial small subunit ribosomal RNA
Source: RNAcentral